Non-coding RNA from Aedes aegypti (yellow fever mosquito), 73 nucleotides. Lineage: Eukaryota; Metazoa; Arthropoda; Insecta; Diptera; Culicidae. The record is from Rfam.
GGCUCGGUAGCUUAAUUGGUAAAGCGCUCGUCUAGCAUACAACAGUCCUGGGGUUCAAAUCCCAGCCGAGCAC